UACGUAGGGUGCGAGCGUUAAUCGGAAUUACUGGGCGUAAAGCGUGCGCAGGCGGCUUUGCAAGACAGAUGUGAAAUCCCCGGGCUCAACCUGGGAACUGCAUUUGUGACUGCAAGGCUAGAGUACGGCAGAGGGGGGUGGAAUUCCGCGUGUAGCAGUGAAAUGCGUAGAUAUGCGGAGGAACACCAGUGGCGAAGGCAAUCCCCUGGGCCUGUACUGACGCUCAUGCACGAAAGCGUGGGGAGCAAACAGG
This 253-nucleotide ribosomal RNA is filed under the name uncultured bacterium. RNAcentral's name for it is "partial 16S ribosomal RNA". It matches the Rfam family "Bacterial small subunit ribosomal RNA", at positions 524 to 776 of the family's 1533-position model. The record is from RNAcentral.